GCCGCCGCGGUGGGCGCUGGGAAGUGGAGGCCGCGGCCGCGCCGUGCUUCCGGGCUGCCGUGGGUGGGGUCCCCAUGGGGCAGCGGGCUCAAGCGGGUAAACGGUGAAGGUGAAGAGACGGAACUGCUGAGGCCCCGGAGGCCCCAGCGCAGCACCGAAGACAAAGCCGGCCGGGGUUCCCAUCACAGCUCCGCCUCCUGGGGCCUUGCGCCGGGGCGGGGUUUCACCCUAGCGGUCAGCGUCCCCAAAAGUAAAAAAGCCUGCUGGGAGCCAUUCCACCAAUGUCGAUACCCCUUGACAAAGUCAGGGCAAAACGGCCAUGCAGAUUGCAAAGCAGUCUCACUCUGGAAAAUACCGACAUUUCCUUCUGUUGUUUAUAGUGCCUAUAAUUGGAUUGGGGUACAUGGGCUUUUUGAAAAUUGUACAGGAUGAUUCUCAAUCUGGGGAAAUAAUAGGGGCUAUGAUGAUGACUGUGCAGGACAAUUCAAACAAUGGAAUUUCAAUGAAAGUACUUGGAAAUAAAUCAAAAGAUCAGGGCCCCCAUGGUGUGUCAUGCCUCAAGCCCUAAAGACAACGUGUGCCGUUAGCUCUGUAAGAAACAUAAGAUAGAUAUCUCUAGGUUGACUGCUUUCCUUGUAGGUAAUAGGAACAAUAAUCAGCCCACUGUUGGGUUCCAGGUGCCAGUGGGUUGGGACCCUCGUGACCUUCUCUUUUUGCGCUUGUUUUUGUGAAAUAGUCUUUGGUUAGGAGCUGUUCUUAGGGAUAGAAUUGAAAAUGGGUUAAGGGGUAAUGAUUAACUAAGUAUAAGGCUAAGGGGUAAUUUAAAAAAUCAUCAGGGUGAUGAUGUUCAGCCAAGUCGAAAAAGGCCCAGGCCCGUGACCACACCCUGGGUAUGGAAACAGGUUAACAAUGUAAACAAUAAAGAUGUAAGAGUCAACUUGGCCACAAUGUGAAAUCACCUGUUUGAUAAAAUUGUAUAAAUACCACAAAUAAAGAAAGCCUUGCAGAGUUGCCUGCAUGGUGAUCAAACCUUGA
Long non-coding RNA from Camelus dromedarius (Arabian camel), 1035 nucleotides. RefSeq lists it as uncharacterized. The transcript has 2 exons. The record is from RefSeq and is a predicted model, not a curated record. Lineage: Eukaryota; Metazoa; Chordata; Mammalia; Artiodactyla; Camelidae.